GACGAACGCUGGCGGCGUGCUUAACACAUGCAAGUCGAACGGGCUCUGUCUGGCUGUGUGCUGGGUGGGGUUAGUGGCGAACGGGUGAGUAAUACGUGAGUAACCUGCCCUCUUCUUUGGGAUAAGCCUUGGAAACGGGGUCUAAUACUGGAUAUUCCUGUCUGGUCGCAUGGCUGGGUGGGGAAAGUUUUUUUCGGUGGGUGAUGGGCUCGCGGCCUAUCAGCUUGUUGGUGGGGUGAUGGCCUACCAAGGCGUCGACGGGUAGCCGGCCUGAGAGGGUGAACGGCGACACUGGGACUGGGAUACGGCCCAGACUCCUACGGGAGGCAGCAGUGGGGGAUAUUGCACAAUGAGCGCGAGCCUGAUGCAGCGACGCCGCGUGGGGGAUUACGGCUUUCGGGUUGUAAGCCUCUUUCGUCGGGGGACAAGGCUCUGCUUGGUGGUGGGGUUGAGGGUACCCGGUGAAGAAGCGCCGGCUAACUACGUG
RNAcentral lists this ribosomal RNA (487 nucleotides) under uncultured bacterium. RNAcentral's name for it is "partial 16S ribosomal RNA". It matches the Rfam family "Bacterial small subunit ribosomal RNA", at positions 28 to 507 of the family's 1533-position model. The record is from RNAcentral.